GCUGGGUGUGGUGGUGCAUGCCUGUAAUCCCAGCUACUUGGGAGGCUGAGGCAGGAGAAUAGCUUGAACCCAGGAGGCAGAGGUUGCAGUGAGCCAAGAUCACACCAUUGCACUCCAGCCUGGGUAACAGAGCAAGAAUCUGUCUCAA
Unclassified non-coding RNA from Macaca fascicularis (crab-eating macaque), 148 nucleotides. It matches the Rfam family "Metazoan signal recognition particle RNA". From Rfam's summary of the family: The signal recognition particle (SRP) is a universally conserved ribonucleoprotein. It is involved in the co-translational targeting of proteins to membranes. The eukaryotic SRP consists of a 300-nucleotide 7S RNA and six proteins: SRPs 72, 68, 54, 19, 14, and 9. NCBI's taxonomy places the organism in Eukaryota, Metazoa, Chordata, Mammalia, Primates, Cercopithecidae. The record is from Ensembl.